UGCGUAGGCGGGUCUUUAAGUCAGGGGUGGAAUCCUGGAGCUCAACUCCAGAACUGCCUUUGAUACUGAAGAUCUUGAGUUCGGGAGAGGUGAGUGGAACUGCGAGUGUAGAGGUGAAAUUCGUAGAUAUUCGCAAGAACACCAGUGGCGAAGGCGGCUCACUGGCCCGAUACUGACGCUGAGGCACGAAAGCGUGGGGAGCAAACA
This 207-nucleotide ribosomal RNA is filed under the name uncultured bacterium. Its description in RNAcentral is "partial 16S ribosomal RNA". It matches the Rfam family "Bacterial small subunit ribosomal RNA", at positions 568 to 774 of the family's 1533-position model. The record is from RNAcentral.